GACGAACGCUGGCGGCGUGCUUAACACAUGCAAGUCGAACGGAAAGGCCCUUCGUGGUGGGUGUGUGGGGAACGGGAGCGUGACAGUUGAACAAGCGGCCCCUGGCCCUGGGACAACGAUUGGAAACGGUAGCUAAGACUGAAUCCGGCCCGGCGCUGCAGCGGCUGUGGGUGGGAAGGAUAUUUGCGGCGGAUGGGGUUGGGGCCGCGGCGUAUCUGCUUGUUGGUGAGGUGGAGGCUGACCAAGGCGUCGACGGGUAGCCGGCCUGAGAGGGCGACCGGCCACACUGGGACUGAGACACGGCCCAGACUCCUACGGGAGGCAGCAGUGGGGAAUAUUGCACAAUGGGCGGAAGCCUGAUGCAGCAACGCCGCGUGCGGGAUGACGGCCUUCGGGUUGUAAACCUCUUUCAGCUCUGAAGAAGCGAGAGUGACGGUAGUAGGAGAAGAAGCACCGGCUAACUACGUG
This 468-nucleotide ribosomal RNA is filed under the name uncultured bacterium. RNAcentral's name for it is "partial 16S ribosomal RNA". It matches the Rfam family "Bacterial small subunit ribosomal RNA", at positions 28 to 507 of the family's 1533-position model. The record is from RNAcentral.